CCAGAAUUUAGGAAUAAGAAUGUAUAGAAUUUCAUCACUAUUGCAUCAUUCCUAUAGACCUUGGCAGCCAGAAUCCAUCUUAAAAUAGUGGUCUUCAAACUGAGGCACCUGUAUCUCCUGAGGUGCAGCAACACCAAUUUUAUACAGCUGUGCAGCAAAGGCCCUGGAGUAGAAGAUACUCUUUACAGAGGCCCAGGAGAAAAUAUGAACAAAAAUUGGUGAAGGCCAUCACCAGACCUAGCAGUUGCAUCCUGUUCAGCACCACAGACAGCUCCCUCGCAAAUGCCAUCCUUUCAAAAGAUUCAUAGCAUGAAAGUAUUAGCAAGCCAUGCCUUCUUCAAUUUGGG
This 347-nucleotide long non-coding RNA is filed under the name Pan troglodytes (chimpanzee). Its description in RNAcentral is "long non-coding RNA NONPTRT013974". Lineage: Eukaryota; Metazoa; Chordata; Mammalia; Primates; Hominidae. The record is from RNAcentral.